Non-coding RNA from Acanthosepion pharaonis, 96 nucleotides. Lineage: Eukaryota; Metazoa; Mollusca; Cephalopoda; Sepiida; Sepiidae. The record is from the annotation of a GenBank genome assembly.
UAAAACACCCGUUCCAGUAUGAUCACCAAAGUUAAGCAAUGUUGAGCCUAGUCAGUACCAUGAUGGGUGACAGCUUGUGAAUACCAGCUACUGUAA